RNAcentral lists this non-coding RNA (26 nucleotides) under Homo sapiens (human). The record is from RNAcentral. Lineage: Eukaryota; Metazoa; Chordata; Mammalia; Primates; Hominidae.
UCCAGCCCCUAACCGCAAGUGAUCCG